AGAGUUUGAUCCUGGCUCAGGACGAACGCUGGCGGCGUGCCUAACACAUGCAAGUCUGGGAGACCCGGGUAGCAAUAUUCGGGAAAACCGGCGCAAGGGUGAGUAACACGUGGGCAAUUUUCCUUUAGGACGGGAAUAACUCAGAGAAAUCUGGGCUAAUACCCGAUGAUGCAGCGGCACCGCAUGGUGAUGUUGUUAAAAGCCCCAAAAGGGUGCCUAAAGAUAAGCCUGCGUCCCAUCAGGUAGUUGGUAGGGUUACGGCCUACCAAGCCUACGACGGGUAGCUGGUCUGAGAGGAUGGUCAGCCACACUGGAACUGAGACACGGUCCAGACUCCUACGGGAGGCAGCAGUGAGGAAUAUUGCGCAAUGUCCGAAAGGGUGACGCAGCGACGCCGCGUGGAGGAUGAAGGCCCUAUGGGUCGUAAACUCCUGUUGGGGAAGACGAAUGAUCAGCUAUACGCUGAUUUGACUGUAUUCCUCGAGGAAGCACCGGCUAACUACGUGCCAGCAGCCGCGGUAAUACGUAGGGGGCAAGCGUUGUCCGGAUUUACUGGGUGUAAAGGGUGCUCAGGCGGAUCUGUAAGUCAGAGGUGAAAUCCUGGAGCUUAACUCCAGAACUGCCUUUGAUACUGCAGGCCUAGAGUGCGGGAGAGGAUGAUGGAAUAUCUGGUGUAGCAGUGAAAUGCGUAGAUAUCAGAUAGAACACCAAUGGCGAAGGCAGUCAUCUGGCCCGUUACUGACGCUAAAGCACGAAAGUGUGGGGAGCAAACAGGAUUAGAUACCCUGGUAGUCCACACCCUAAACGAUGAGUACUAGACGUUGGGUCUUUUAAGAUUCAGUGUCUGAGCUAACGCAUUAAGUACUCCACCUGGGAAGUACGAUCGCAAGGUUGAAACUCAAAGGAAUUGACGGGGGCCCGCACAAGCAGUGGAGCAUGUGGUUUAAUUCGAUGCAACGCGAAGAACCUUACCUAGGCUUGAAAAGCAAAUGAAAGACAGAUGAAAGUUUGUCUGUGCAGCAAUGCACAUUUGUACAGGUGCUGCAUGGCUGUCGUCAGCUCGUGCCGUGAGGUGUUGGGUUAAGUCCCGCAACGAGCGCAACCCUUGUCCUUAUUUGCCACCAGGUAAUGCUGAGCACUCUAAGGAGACUGCCUACGCAAGUAGUGAGGAAGGUGGGGACGACGUCAAGUCCGCAUGGCCCUUACGCCUAGGGCAACGCACGUGCUACAAUGGCCAUUACAAAGGGCAGCGAUACCGCGAGGUGGAGCCAAUCCCAAAAAAAUGGUCUCAGUUCGGAUCGGAGUCUGCAACUCGACUCCGUGAAGCUGGAAUUGCUAGUAAUCGCGCAUCAGCACGGCGCGGUGAAUACGUUCCCGGGCCUUGUACACACCGCCCGUCAAGCCAUGGAAGUUGGGGGUACCCGAAGUCACCUUAAACAAGUGCCUAAGGUAAAACCAAUGACUGGGGCUAAGUCGUAACAAGGUA
Molecule: ribosomal RNA, 1486 nt
Filed under: uncultured bacterium
Lineage: Bacteria
Description: bacterial SSU rRNA
Rfam family: Bacterial small subunit ribosomal RNA
Source: RNAcentral